UAAACUAAAUCACAAGAUAAAAAAAAUGAAAACCUUUAAAUAUUACCGAUGCCUUGGAGAUUUAUCGACGACAUAGUCAUUGGUAACCUUCACCUCUAAAAUGGUUGUCGGAACUUUUGUCAAUAAACUCGUCCUGUGUAGUAGUCUUUGGGACCAGAAGAUUCUUUGGCCAAUAAUUAUACCAAAAAUAACUACUAAUUCACCUCAAACUCACGGUUGUCGCCGCUAACCUUGUUACAAGCACCCUUUCCCCUUUGAGAAAAGCACUGCUUUUGCCGGAUUCGAGGUCAUCAUUGUUCUUCUUUGCUCUAUGUUAUCUACUAGAUUUAUUCGCGAUCUCCUCCUGCGCAGUGCGUGGUUCAAAUAGGAUGCAGCUGCACGAUAGUCCUACCACCGUCAUCUCCAACCUCUAUCGUCGACACCACGUAUCGCAGGUUUAGACAUAUCCUACCUACUCUUCUACGUCCGCGCCUGCUCCUUCGAAUCCGCUGCUAGAAGCUCCUCCUCCUUGGAGCAUUACAGAUUGUGUUCGAUUCUGUUUUAAAUCCGUUGCAUGAUUCUACUCAUUGUUCUAGCCUUUUUGUCCUAGGUCUUUUGUUUCAUAUUUCCAUUGCUGGAGCAGCUAAAACGAGAUUGAUAAGUUACACAUUUCUACCUUCAUGUUUGAGGGAGGUAAAGAAAUUGGUAAGGCCUAUGCAUGGCCCAAAAUCUCUCAUGGAUGAAUCAUUAAGGGUGGCAAUGAGUAAGGGACUUAGAUGAAGAAUUUAGAAAAGACUUAUUGGUUAUGGGAAGCUUUGAUUCUUAAAGACUUGAAUAAAACGCACAUGAUGAAGAUUUGGUGCUUGGAAGUAUUCUUAAUAUUUUCCCAUCAUUUUCACUGGAACAACCAUUGAAAGGUGAUCUUUCAUUCUUUCUUAACAUUUUAUUUGAUGAUGCACAUAAAUACUUUGAAUACUUUAAUAAUAUACAUAAGAAUAAAAGGAUGUAGAAAAAUGUAAGAGUCUUCUAUAUUCUAUAUGAAGUUGGGUUGCAGAUUAAAUAUACAAAGGGCAACAAGGUAAGUGUAAAAUGUCCCCAAUUAUAUGGCAAUUUGUUUGACUUUGUAAUCCUAGAAAACAGGAGGGAUUUGAAGAGGAAUUGUUAUGGUUUUUGUUGACAAAAUGGUGUGAGCACUAAAAAGGCUUGGUGGCCAUUAUGCUAUAGUAAUAAUGUAUUUAGACUCGCUACCUAUCUUGCUAUUAUAUGUUAAAUGUUUGCAAGCUUAUUAAGAGUUAGAUACAUUUUAGCAAAAGCAUCUAUGAAGUUUUUCUUUCAUGUAUAUAUAUUUUUUAAUUUAGGUGAUUUCAGGAUAAGCUUGCUAAGGAAAUGGCAUAUGUUGCUACAGGAUUUGGGCAUGUAAUGUUGCCUGAGAAUGUUCAUGAACCAGCCUUAAAUUGUGCAUUUUAAUCAAACCAAAUUAUUUUUUGCACAAUUUUAGACAAGUAACAUAGUUCUGAACAUUUGCAAAAACUACAAGGAAUCUUUGGAAGAAGUUGUUGUCUUAUUGAGCAGGUACAUUUUAGGCAUAAUUUUAUAUGGUCCUUUUUCAUAUAUUAAAGGAUGAAUAAUGUAAUGUUAGGAUACUUAGAGAGAUGCAUUUAACCGUGAAAGUGUCAAUACAAGUU
Non-coding RNA from Arachis ipaensis, 1664 nucleotides. NCBI's taxonomy places the organism in Eukaryota, Viridiplantae, Streptophyta, Magnoliopsida, Fabales, Fabaceae. The record is from RefSeq and is a predicted model, not a curated record.